RNAcentral lists this ribosomal RNA (482 nucleotides) under uncultured Actinomycetes bacterium. Its description in RNAcentral is "bacterial SSU rRNA". It matches the Rfam family "Bacterial small subunit ribosomal RNA", at positions 355 to 851 of the family's 1533-position model. The record is from RNAcentral. Lineage: Bacteria; Bacillati; Actinomycetota; Actinomycetes.
UGGGGAAUCUUGCACAAUGGGCGAAAGCCUGAUGCAGCAACGCCGCGUGCGGGAAGAAGGCCCUAGGGUUGUAAACCGCUUUCAGCAGGGAAGAAAAUGACGGUACCUGCAGAAGAAGGUGCGGCCAACUACGUGCCAGCAGCCGCGGUGACACGUAGGCACCAAGCGUUAUCCGGAUUUAUUGGGCGUAAAGAGCUCGUAGGCGGUUCGGUAAGUCGGGUGUGAAAACUCUGGGCUCAACCCAGAGAGGCCACUCGAUACUGCUGUGACUAGAGUGCGGUAGGGGAGCGGGGAAUUCAUGGUGUAGCGGUGAAAUGCGCAGAUAUCAUGAGGAACACCAGUGGCGAAGGCGCCGCUCUGGGCCGUAACUGACGCUGAGGAGCGAAAGCAUGGGUAGCAAACAGGAUUAGAUACCCUGGUAGUCCAUGCCGUAAACGUUGGGCACUAGGUGUGGGUCUCAACCAACGAGAUCCGCGCCGUCG